AUGGCGGCACAACCCUUUUUCAUAACAAUCUCAGAUGAAUUACUGAUAAAAAUUUCAGAUGCAGAGUCACCAUUACUUACACCAAUUCUCGCUUGCAAAAAGGACAUGUUGGUUUCCGAUUUCGUUCGACUUUGCUUUAAAUAUGAAGGUUCUGCAGUUCAGUGCAGUAAUCAAAUUGGUGUAAGUAAUGGUGACUCUGCAUCUGUACCGUAUUUGAAGGAUUGGCAUUUUGUGAAGCAGGGUCAUUCAUCUCAAGAGCUAUGA
Vicia faba (fava bean) is the source of this 264-nucleotide non-coding RNA. Lineage: Eukaryota; Viridiplantae; Streptophyta; Magnoliopsida; Fabales; Fabaceae. The record is from the annotation of a GenBank genome assembly.